Molecule: long non-coding RNA, 314 nt
Organism: Hyla sarda
Lineage: Eukaryota; Metazoa; Chordata; Amphibia; Anura; Hylidae
Exons: 3
Source: RefSeq, a predicted model, not a curated record
CAGGGUCACAUACAUUUAAAUGUUUGGUGAAUACAGCAAGUUUAAAGGACAUAAGAUACAAGGGAGGAUCCAAGAAGACAACUUAAAGAAAAAGUCAGAUACAACGGGACCAUGGAAAUAGAGUGGACAUGUACCUUUGGAGGGAGAGGAGCAAUCAGAUGUGGGAUGAUAAGUUUGCAAACUGUCGCAAUACAGUGUCUGUAUAUUCUGAAGAUCACACGGAAAACAGCCGAGCCGUGAUUUAUCUGGUGUUGGUAUCAGGAAGAUAAGACAAAGUUUGUGACAAAUUUAUAUUGCUAAAGAAUCACAUUGCA